This 566-nucleotide ribosomal RNA is filed under the name Pteroptyx tener. Its description in RNAcentral is "partial large subunit ribosomal RNA". It matches the Rfam family "Bacterial large subunit ribosomal RNA", at positions 1831 to 2662 of the family's 2925-position model. Lineage: Eukaryota; Metazoa; Arthropoda; Insecta; Coleoptera; Lampyridae. The record is from RNAcentral.
UCUUUUUGAUUAUAAUUUAAGGUUUAAUCUGCUCAAUGAUUAUUUAAAUUGCCGCAGUAUUUUGACUGUGCAAAGGUAGCAUAAUAAUUAGUUUCUUUAUUGGGAACUGGAAUGAAUGAUUGGACGAGAAAAUUUCUGUCUCUUUAUUAUUUUAAUUGAAUUUUACUUUUAAGUUAAAAGGCUUAAAUUUUAUUAGAGGACGAGAAGACCCUAUAGAGUUUAAUUUUUAUUUAAAUAAUUAUUUUUAGUAUUUAUAUAUAUUAUUUAAAUAAAAAUUUAGUUGGGGUGACUAAAAGAUAAGAAUAACUCUUUUAAUUUUUAUCAAUUAUUUUUGAUUAUAAAAUCUUUAUUUUUAAUUUUAAAAUAAAUUACCUUAGGGAUAACAGCGUAAUUCUUUUUUAAAGUUCUUAUUAAAAGAAGAGUUUGCGACCUCGAUGUUGGAUUAAAAUUAAUUUUAGGUGUAGAAGCUUGAAAAUUAAGUCUGUUCGACUUUUAAAAUUUUACAUGAUCUGAGUUUAAACCGGUGUGAGCCAGGUUGGUUUCUAUCCUUAAUUAUAUAUUAUACU